Molecule: ribosomal RNA, 1482 nt
Filed under: uncultured prokaryote
Description: partial 16S ribosomal RNA
Rfam family: Bacterial small subunit ribosomal RNA
Source: RNAcentral
UAGAGUUUGAUCCUGGCUCAGGAUGAACGCUAGCGGGAGGCUUAACACAUGCAAGUCGAGGGGUAAGGCAUCUUCGGAUGUACACGACCGGCGCACGGGUGAGUAACGCGUAUGCAACCUGCCUCAAACAGGGGAAUAGCCCAGAGAAAUUUGGAUUAAUGCCCCAUAACAUUCAGAAUUCGCAUGUUUUCUGAAUUAAAGCUCCGGCGGUUUGAGAUGGGCAUGCGUGACAUUAGCUUGUUGGUAAGGUAACGGCUUACCAAGGCAACGAUGUCUAGGGGGUCUUAAAGGAUGAUCCCCCACACUGGUACUGAGACACGGACCAGACUCCUACGGGAGGCAGCAGUGAGGAAUAUUGGUCAAUGGGCGCAAGCCUGAACCAGCCAUCCCGCGUGUAGGAUGAAAGCGCUAUGCGUUGUAAACUACUUUUGUAUGAGAAGAAACUUUUGUACGUGUACAGAACUGACGGUAUCAUACGAAUAAGCAUCGGCUAACUCCGUGCCAGCAGCCGCGGUAAUACGGAGGAUGCAAGCGUUAUCCGGAUUUAUUAGGUUUAAAGGGUGUGUAGGCGGAGCAGUAAGUCAGUGGUGAAAUCCUGCGGCUUAACCGUAGAACUGCCAUUGAAACUACUGCCCUUGAGUACAGUUGAGGUAGGCGGAAUGUGUCAUGUAGCGGUGAAAUGCAUAGAGAUGACACAGAACACCGAUUGCGUAGGCAGCUUACUAAACUGUCACUGACGCUGAGGCACGAAAGCGUGGGGAGCGAACAGGAUUAGAUACCCUGGUAGUCCACGCCGUAAACGAUGAUCACUCGUUGUUAGCAAUAUAGGGUUAGCGACUGAGCGAAAGCAUUAAGUGAUCCACCUGGGGAGUACGUUGGCAACAAUGAAACUCAAAGGAAUUGACGGGGGCCCGCACAAGCGGAGGAACAUGUGGUUUAAUUCGAUGAUACGCGAGGAACCUUACCUGGGCUUAAAUGUAGAACGACGUAUCGGGAAACUGGUCUUUUCUUCGGGACUCUUUACAAGGUGCUGCAUGGUUGUCGUCAGCUCGUGCCGUGAGGUGUCGGGUUAAGUCCCAUAACGAGCGCAACCCCUAUUGUUAGUUGCUAGCAGGUAAUGCUGAGGACUCUAACGAGACUGCCGGUGUAAACCGUGAGGAAGGUGGGGAUGACGUCAAAUCAGCACGGCCCUUAUGUCCAGGGCGACACACGUGUUACAAUGGCCAGUACAAAGGGCAGCUACAUGGCGACAUGAUGCUAAUCCCUAAAACUGGUCUCAGUUCGGAUUGAAGUCUGCAACUCGACUUCAUGAAGUUGGAUUCGCUAGUAAUCGCGCAUCAGCCAUGGCGCGGUGAAUACGUUCCCGGGCCUUGUACACACCGCCCGUCAAGCCAUGGAAGCUGGGGGUACCUGAAGUCCGUAACCGUAAGGAGCGGCCUAGGGUAAAACCGGUGACUGGGGCUAAGUCGAAACAAGGUAACC